Molecule: ribosomal RNA, 441 nt
Filed under: uncultured bacterium
Lineage: Bacteria
Description: partial 16S ribosomal RNA
Rfam family: Bacterial small subunit ribosomal RNA
Source: RNAcentral
CCUACGGGUGGCAGCAGUGGGGGAUAUUGCACAAUGGGGGGAACCCUGAUGCAGCGACGCCGCGUGGGUGAAGGAGUAUUUCGGUAUGUAAAGCCCUAUCGGCAGGGAAGAAUUUAGACGGUACCUGACUAAGAAGCCCCGGCUAACUACGUGCCAGCAGCCGCGGUAAUACGUAGGGGGCAAGCGUUAUCCGGAUUUACUGGGUGUAAAGGGAGCGUAGACGGCUAAUCAAGUCAGAAGUGAAAACCCAGGGCUCAACUUUGGGACUGCUUUUGAAACUGAGUAGCUAGAGUGCAGGAGAGGUAAGCGGAAUUCCUAGUGUAGCGGUGAAAUGCGUAGAUAUUAGGAGGAACACCAGUGGCGAAGGCGGCUUACUGGACUGUAACUGACGUUGAGGCUCGAAAGCGUGGGGAGCAAACAGGAUUAGAUACCCGGGUAGUC